GAUGACAACGACGUCAGUUUAACGGACAGCAAAAGGGGAAGCGGUGGGGAGAAAGGGUUGGAAGGCACGGCCACAUUGUUCUGUGCUCCCUGUUCUCUCACCCAGGAAAUCCUUCAGCCCAAUGACUGCAUAGAGAAGCGCUCCUGUAUGAAGAAGUAAAAAGACACUAGAAGAAAAAAGGGCAAGGAGAGGGAGACCCCAAGUCAAGGAAACAAUACUGGGUUUUGUUUUGUGUGUACAGUGUCCAGCCCAAAUGAGCCUUGAUCCCACAAUGGGGCCUGGAGCCUCAGCACUGCUAACAUACAUAAUGGCCAAUACAGCCAGAAGUCCAAUCAUGAUUAUGGAAUCCAGGCCACAUUUUUAAUACACCCAGUGUGACAACAUGAUGAAGCACAAUCUCCACAUUCUUAAGUAUACAGGCUGGACUGGAGCUACAUCAUCCUACAUUAAGAAUUCCCUCUGUGACUACUUCACCUGAGCUCUGAUUCUGCUCUAUUGCAAGGGACGCUGUAGCAAAAGCACCUUAUUGUGCUUCAUCAAGAGGGCAUUGCACCAUUCUUCCCAUUGUUCCUGCACUCUUUGACUAUGCUGGGUUCACCUUACUGUACAGGAUUCUUCCUAUCAAGCAGAUGUUUCCAUGUCCUAGAGUCAUUUACAAGCUGGGUGAAAUAAUUGAAAGUAACAGGUGUUCACGUGAUGGCGGCCAUGCUGGUUGACACCAGGGAUUGAAUCAGGUCCAGAGCUAAAAUCAUGAAUGUCUAAAGCUUGAGUUCAAGAGCCAGGAGCCCCAAGAGCUUUAACAGACUCACAUCCUCUGUGGAUUGGGUACAGACAGGAAUCAGUAACACACACUGACAAACAACUAUUAAUAUACUGUCUGCACUAUUCAGAAAAUACUUAGAAUGCAGGCUGAGGAGACAAGACGAUGUGCAGUCAAUGAACAUUUAAAAACAACAUGUACACCACAUGCUGCAGUGAAUUUACUUGGGUCAUAGAACUGGAACAAAUGGAUCAAACAGCAACUAGUAACAACACUAGCAGCUACAAGAGGAACAGUAACCGAAGAAACAGCCACUGUAUUAAAUCAGUUAGAAAUCUGACUCUGAUCUGCAGAAGUAGAAUUUGGAACAUAACAACAGGACAAGACUGAAGCUUUCCAAGAUUGGUGAAAACCACACAAGACAGGAUUGAAUCAUCACUCUUUGAGAGACAGUGUGGCCUAGACAGUACUGUACAGGG
Molecule: long non-coding RNA, 1239 nt
Organism: Dermochelys coriacea (leatherback sea turtle)
Lineage: Eukaryota; Metazoa; Chordata; Testudines; Dermochelyidae
Exons: 6
Source: RefSeq, a predicted model, not a curated record